CCUACGGGGGGCAGCAGUGGGGAAUAUUGCACAAUGGGCGCAAGCCUGAUGCAGCCAUGCCGCGUGUGUGAAGAAGGCCUUCGGGUUGUAAAGCACUUUCAGCGGGGAGGAAGGCGGUGAGGUUAAUAACCUCAUCGAUUGACGUUACCCGCAGAAGAAGCACCGGCUAACUCCGUGCCAGCAGCCGCGGUAAUACGGAGGGUGCAAGCGUUAAUCGGAAUUACUGGGCGUAAAGCGCACGCAGGCGGUCUGUCAAGUCGGAUGUGAAAUCCCCGGGCUCAACCUGGAGACUGCAUUCGAAACUGGCAGGCUAGAGUCUUGUAGAGGGGGGUAGAAUUCCAGGUGUAGCGGUGAAAUGCGUAGAGAUCUGGAGGAAUACCGGUGGCGAAGGCGGCCCCCUGGACAAAGACUGACGCUCAGGUGCGAAAGCGUGGGGAGCAAACAGGAUUAGAUACCCGGGUAGUC
Molecule: ribosomal RNA, 465 nt
Filed under: uncultured Klebsiella sp.
Lineage: Bacteria; Pseudomonadati; Pseudomonadota; Gammaproteobacteria; Enterobacterales; Enterobacteriaceae
Description: bacterial SSU rRNA
Rfam family: Bacterial small subunit ribosomal RNA
Source: RNAcentral